RNAcentral lists this ribosomal RNA (191 nucleotides) under uncultured Gammaproteobacteria bacterium. Its description in RNAcentral is "partial 16S ribosomal RNA". It matches the Rfam family "Bacterial small subunit ribosomal RNA", at positions 340 to 524 of the family's 1533-position model. The record is from RNAcentral. Lineage: Bacteria; Pseudomonadati; Pseudomonadota; Gammaproteobacteria.
UACGGGAGGCGCAGUGGGGAAUAUUGGACAAUGGGCGAAAGCCUGAUCCAGCCAUGCCGCGUGUGUGAAGAAGGCCUUAGGGUUGUAAAGCACUUUCAGUAGGGAAGAAAUGCGUGUAGUUAAUAACUGCGCGUCUUGACGGUACCUACAGAAGAAGCACCGGCUAACUCCGUGCCAGCGACCGCGGUAAU